AGGAAGCCCCGGCUAACUACGUGCCAGCAGCCGCGGUAAUACGUAGGGGGCGAGCGUUGCUCGGAAUUACUGGGCGUAAAGGGUGUGUAGGUGGCUGAUCAAGUCAAAGAUGAAAUCCCGAGGCUCAACUUCGGAAUUGUCUUUGAAACUGGUCGGCUUGAGGCUAGUUGAGGAGAGCGGAAUUCCCGGUGGAGCGGUGAAAUGCGUAGAUAUCGGGAGGAACACCUGAGGCGUAGGCGGUUCUCUAAACUUGUCCUGUCACUGAGACACGAAAGCUAGGGGAGCAAACGGGAUUAGAUACCCCGGUAGUCCUAGCCGUAAACGAUGGACGCUAGAUGUACCUGCGUUCAUGCAGGUGUGUCGAAGCUAACGCG
This 374-nucleotide ribosomal RNA is filed under the name uncultured delta proteobacterium. RNAcentral describes it as "bacterial SSU rRNA". It matches the Rfam family "Bacterial small subunit ribosomal RNA", at positions 485 to 859 of the family's 1533-position model. Lineage: Bacteria; Deltaproteobacteria. The record is from RNAcentral.